Felis catus (domestic cat) is the source of this 1841-nucleotide long non-coding RNA. RefSeq lists it as uncharacterized. The record is from RefSeq and is a predicted model, not a curated record. NCBI's taxonomy places the organism in Eukaryota, Metazoa, Chordata, Mammalia, Carnivora, Felidae. The transcript is spliced from 2 exons.
UGAAACAUAUUAUAAAUAUUUGGUAAGUUUUGUAGAGAUGAGCUAAGUGUUCUCCCAGUUUCCCAUUCUGUACCCUUGUUUCUUCCACUCCAGUCACACCAUACAACCUACUCUUCCUCCAAUACCCUGUAUUAUUACUUAUCCUUGUUUUACUUCUGUCUGGGAUGCUCUUCACAAUGUAUUGUCCACCUGGAAAGUGGACCAUAUUUCUGAAAAGUUAGUGGAGAAAUUAAUGCCUCUGUGAAAUUGCCCUUUAUUACUCGACUUUUGUGCAGACCUUGCUGCAGAAUAUCAAAUACAUUUCUUUUUCUAUCUGGCACAUGACAAAAUCUUUCUCAGCUUCACUUGUUUGACACAGCCAUAGAACGUGGGCGGGAAAAUUGUGUACACGUUUAAGCUUAGCCCGUAAUUGCUUUCCUGUUGUCAUCCUCCAUGCUGUUUUUCACUUUCAGGUGGUUGGUUUAAAGAUCCCCUCAAGUGGAUCUUGGGAGCUAUUAUAAGAAGGGAGCCCAGGUCCCCAAGUCAUUGGUUGGUGAACUGUCCAACCAGCAACUCCUGCAUAGGACAACUGUGAGAAUGAAAAAUAAACUUUUAUUGUGUUAAACCACGGAGAUUUGGGAAUUUAUCCAUUAUAGCCACUGUAGAGACACCAUUUGCCACCCCAAAAUGUGUCUCUUUGGUAUAAGGAUUGUUUUAGGCUGAUUAAUUUUUAAGAAACUGCAAACAUAGGAGCUCUAAAAACCAAACAGAAGUUACCUUUUUUAAAGAGACGUGUACAUGUAUAAGGAAAAUCUUUAUUUGUAAGCGUGUCUCCCUUGCUGUACCAGGAAGAGAAAGAUGACUCAAUCUUUAGAAACUAUUAUCAGUGGAGAAGGCAAUGACUUAGGUCUGAAUAACCUUACCCUUGUCUCCAGUGCAUGUCCAGAUAAUCUCUCAUAACUGUCCACCCCCAAUAUCUCGUUUUGUCUUUAUCUGAAGAUGGUUUUAAGGUGAUGGCUUUGGCAAUUUCAGAGAGUUACUCAGUUUUUCUGGGUUUCUCCCAUGUAUACACAUUACUAAACAUUUGUUUGUUUUUUUUCUGUUAAUGUAAUAUCAGUGUAAUUCGUAGACUAGCCAAGAAAGCUAGAAAGGAAGACAAAAAAUCUUCUGCCCCUGAAGUUUUGGCAACCUGGAUGGGAUUUUUCACUGGCUGGACACUGCUGGCUCUGGGGCUGCUGCAGAUCUUGGGACCUUUGACAAAAAGCUGGCAGAAGGUACUCAAGCCUGGAGGAAAGUGACAAGUGCUUUAGCAAGGACUUAAUGGCUGGUAGGCCACCAGAGAGACCUCUGAUAUUUGUGCCAUUUUUAUCAUUUUGGGACACUACAAUCAGCCCUGAGUUCCACUGAGCAGAAGAAAUGAAAUAAGCCAAAAACAUCUAAAAGGUCCUGGGAGCCAGAGAGGGAGAUCAAGGAGAACAAGCAAAACACAUCAAAUGAAAGUGAGCUCCUGGAAGAUGUGGACAGUAAUUUGAACUGAAAUAUAGAAUAAUCAAGGAGAUUGAAGUACUUCUCAAGAAGUCUUUUUUUUGGAGCUACAACAAACAAACAAACAAAAACCAAAUCCACUCCCUUCCCACAAAAAAAGAUUUCCUAACCAAAGAAUUUAUCAGAAAAAUUGAAGGAGACUGCUAUCGGUUCCACAAAAUCUGGUGUCUCUUUAUUCUGGGCAUGUAAAAUAGUGUCAGAGAGGAAGAAUUAUCUGCCCUUCAAGUUCCUUCUAGCUGGACUAAGAAUCAAACUGACAUGAUACAAAUUAACAGGAGAAAAAUCAAGUUUGAAAACAUGGGAAUCCACAUAGACAU